GGGAGCGGUCCUAAUCUCCGGGGGGAGCUGGUUCCAAGACGUGGGCGCCAUCACAGAGAAAGCCCUCCCCCGCGGCCCCGCCAAAUGGCACUGCUUGGCUGACGGGACCUGAAGGAGGCCCAUUAAUAUAUUAAUGAUACCAAAUCCCAAACUACCAUAUGCUUUUCUCCAGUGGCUUCACAUACAUAUUCACAUAGCAGCUUUAAAUGGUGCCUCUGACAAAAACAGGACGGGACACAUGUUAAAUAAGAGAGGAAAGAAGUUUAAGCCCUGAUUUUCCAGAGAUUUUUGUGGUUGAUAGCCCAUUUCUUUCUCAUGCUGUGUGAGCCUAGCCAGUAUUGGUUUGCCUAGCCAUGAUUUAUUCAACAAACCAAAAGUAAGUCCUGUUACAGGCCAUUGACUCAGAAUUACAGCCGGUAUUUUCUGUUCUGAAUAGAAAUUACUCUGAGUUGAGAAUUCUGUACUCAUAAUACUGAGAUCUUCCCCUGUCUUCUUACCCAAAAAUCCUUUUAGGUGCAAGCGCUAGGCGUGGAAUCUAUUAUAUUGGACAACUGAAUUCUAUAUGGAGGAAAGCUAACAGUUAUUUUCCUUGGUUACUUUCCUUCAGAGCAUUUCAACCAUCCAAUGAUCAUUUACCAAGGAGAAUUCUGUUUGUUUACAUGAGAAUAUACUAAUUUCUUGUUCUAUACAGCAGUGGCAUUUAACUAAAUAUAAGUUCAUAAAGCCACAGGAGUUACUGUAGCCCAUAAAUUGCUCAUUCUUCCUGCCAAACAUUUCAUUCUUCACUGGCCUCAUUCUCUGCAAUUUGCUAGCGGCAGCUUUUUCCUAUGAAACCAGUAAGAAUGUUGACAUGCCACAAGUCAUCCAAUAAAGCUAUGGACAUUUUUUUAACACAGCAGUUUUAGGUACAGUGUCUUCCAGCAAUAUUUUCUCACACUCUGGAUAUAUUUAGAUUCAUGUGAGGCUUUCUGUUCACUUGUGCCAUUUUGUAUGUGUCCUUAUUUAAAAUAUAUUUAUUUCAGAGAUAUUUAUAUCUCAUCUUUCAUUAAUGUAAGUUCAAGUGGCAAACAAAAUAAAUGGAACUGUAAAACC
This is a long non-coding RNA of Crotalus tigris (Tiger rattlesnake), 1092 nucleotides long. RefSeq lists it as uncharacterized. The record is from RefSeq and is a predicted model, not a curated record. The transcript is spliced from 2 exons. Lineage: Eukaryota; Metazoa; Chordata; Lepidosauria; Squamata; Viperidae.